Molecule: non-coding RNA, 109 nt
Organism: Araneus ventricosus
Lineage: Eukaryota; Metazoa; Arthropoda; Arachnida; Araneae; Araneidae
Source: the annotation of a GenBank genome assembly
ACGGCCAUACCAUGCUGAGAGCACCGAUUCUCGUCUGAUCACCGCAGCUAAGCAGCAUCGGGCGCUGUCAGUACUUGGGAGGGCGACCACCUGGGGACACCGUCUGCUG